RNAcentral lists this ribosomal RNA (685 nucleotides) under Ephemerocybe bispora. RNAcentral's name for it is "eukaryotic LSU rRNA". The stretch from base 271 to 424 matches the Rfam family "5.8S ribosomal RNA". Lineage: Eukaryota; Fungi; Basidiomycota; Agaricomycetes; Agaricales; Psathyrellaceae. The record is from RNAcentral.
UCCGUAGGUGAACCUGCGGAAGGAUCAUUAAUGAAUAACUUUGGCGUGGUUGUAGCUGGCUCUUAGGAGCAUGUGCACACCCGUCAUCUUUAUCUUUCCACCUGUGCACACUAUGUAGAUCUGGAUAACUCUCGCUCUUCUGAGCGGAAACAAGGAUUGCUGCGUCGCAAGGCCAGCUCUCUUUGAAUUUCCAGGUCUAUGUCAUUUACAAACCCCAAUUGAAUGAUGCAGAAUGUCGUCAAUGGGCUCUAAGCCUAUAAAACAAAAUACAACUUUCAGCAACGGAUCUCUUGGCUCUCGCAUCGAUGAAGAACGCAGCGAAAUGCGAUAAGUAAUGUGAAUUGCAGAAUUCAGUGAAUCAUCGAAUCUUUGAACGCACCUUGCGCUCCUUGGUAUUCCGAGGAGCAUGCCUGUUUGAGUGUCAUUAAAUUCUCAACCUCACCAGUUUUGUUAUGAGACUGUGUAAGGCUUGGAUGUGGGGGUUUGUGCAGGCUGCCUUUUGGCGGUCUGCUCCCCUGAAAUGCAUUAGCGAGUUCACUAAGCUCCGUCUAUUGGUGUGAUAAUUAUCUACGCCGUGGAAUGGGUUUAGACUUGCUUCUAACCGUCCGCAAGGACAACUUUUGACAAUUUGACCUCAAAUCAGGUAGGACUACCCGCUGAACUUAAGCAUAUCAAUAAGCGGAGG